UGUAGGAGUGAGCCUGCUCGCGAUAGCGGUGUGUCAGGUACAAAUGAUUUGACUGAUCAGCCGCGAUCGCGAGCAGGCUCACUCCUGCA
Molecule: unclassified non-coding RNA, 89 nt
Filed under: Pseudomonas granadensis
Lineage: Bacteria; Pseudomonadati; Pseudomonadota; Gammaproteobacteria; Pseudomonadales; Pseudomonadaceae
Source: RNAcentral